AUGCCAAGGAAUGUUGAGCUGACACCACGCACCUAUAGACCACUCCAAGGAGGUUGGGAUGUGAUCAAGGCGGCGGUUAGCUGGUGGUGUGGAUGCUUGGAGCAAGUGUACAAUGCACCUCCAGGUGGCACUAAUGAAGCCGAUUGGGAUAAAAUUGCAGCCGCGAGGUAUAGGGACAUGCCGGCAUCCAGGGGCAAGCCCUUUGCAUUCGAGCAUUGUUGA
This 222-nucleotide ribosomal RNA is filed under the name Triticum aestivum (bread wheat). Its description in RNAcentral is "partial small subunit ribosomal RNA". The record is from RNAcentral. Lineage: Eukaryota; Viridiplantae; Streptophyta; Magnoliopsida; Poales; Poaceae.